GGCCGAGUGGUGGAAUUGGUAGACACGAUGCGUUUAAGCCGCAUUCCUACGGGGUGAGGGUUCGAGUCCCUCUCGGACU
Molecule: transfer RNA, 79 nt
Filed under: Spirochaetota bacterium
Lineage: Bacteria; Pseudomonadati; Spirochaetota
Description: Spirochaetes bacterium tRNA-Leu
Rfam family: tRNA
About the family: Transfer RNA (tRNA) molecules are approximately 80 nucleotides in length. Their secondary structure includes four short double-helical elements and three loops (D, anti-codon, and T loops).
Source: RNAcentral